UACGGGAGGCAGCAGUGGGGAAUAUUGGACAAUGGGGGCAACCCUGAUCCAGCCAUGCCGCGUGUGUGAAGAAGGCUUUCGGGUUGUAAAGCACUUUCAGCGAGGAGGAAGGCCUUAAAGUUAAUACCUUUAAGGAUUGAC
Molecule: ribosomal RNA, 141 nt
Filed under: uncultured bacterium
Lineage: Bacteria
Description: partial 16S ribosomal RNA
Rfam family: Bacterial small subunit ribosomal RNA
Source: RNAcentral